Molecule: ribosomal RNA, 465 nt
Filed under: uncultured bacterium
Lineage: Bacteria
Description: partial 16S ribosomal RNA
Rfam family: Bacterial small subunit ribosomal RNA
Source: RNAcentral
GACGAACGCUGGCGGCGUGCUUAACACAUGCAAGUCGAACGGAAAGGCCCUGCUUGCAGGGUACUCGAGUGGCGAACGGGUGAGUAACACGUGGGUGAUCUGCCCUGCACUUCGGGAUAAGCCUGGGAAACUGGGUCUAAUACCGGAUAGGAGCCAUUUUUAGUGUGAUGGUUGGAAAGUUUUUUCGGUGUAGGAUGAGCUCGCGGCCUAUCAGCUUGUUGGUGGGGUAAUGGCCUACCAAGGCGGCGACGGGUAGCCGGCCUGAGAGGGUGGACGGCCACAUUGGGACUGAGAUACGGCCCAGACUCCUACGGGAGGCAGAAGGGGGGAAUAUUGCACAAUGGGCGCAAGCCUGAUGCAGCGACGCCGCGUGGGGGAGGACGGCCUUAGGGUUGUAAACUCCUUUCGCUAGGGACGAAGCUUUUUGUGACGGUACCUAGAUAAGAAGCACCGGCUAACUACGUG